Cyprinus carpio (common carp) is the source of this 642-nucleotide long non-coding RNA. RefSeq lists it as uncharacterized. The record is from RefSeq and is a predicted model, not a curated record. NCBI's taxonomy places the organism in Eukaryota, Metazoa, Chordata, Actinopteri, Cypriniformes, Cyprinidae. The transcript is spliced from 6 exons.
GUGCAGGGCAGGGGGGCCUCCAGGACAUGUUUGGGAAGCACUGCUGUAGGCAAUCUAUGGACGAGAAUUGACGUUUUAUUUAAAUUACAUUUAGGACUUUUCUGCUUAUUCGGCCAUAAAUGUACUGAUUCUCCCGUUGUCUCCGCUGAGGCGGCAUCUAAUGAGCGUCGACAGGAUUCUGGCGUUUAGCAAAACACUGCGAUCACGUCAUUUCAAGCAUUGCGGAAAUGCAAAUUAACAAAAUUAAUCCCUUUUACAGAAAACUAGUUUUCAUCUCAUGCAGUGCUCUGCCCUGGCAUACAGAGAUAUCAGUGGACAUCUGGCUAAAUGGCUAAAAUGGACAGCAGCACACAGUUAUAAACAUUUAGAUUUUCUCUCCUGGAGUCAAGGCAAAUCAGACCCCUGCAUUUGCAACUGAGUUAUUCCACCGAGGGUAAAAAUGCGAAUCAGAGCUCGGCUCGUCAUAGAUAAUCAAGCCAUCAGCAUGCAGAUGCCAAAGCCAGAGGUACAGUGGGAUCAACCAGCUGUGUGGACCGAAAGGCCAAUGGGUCUGUGUCUAAGGAGGCUAUGCCUAUAAACUCAGCAUCUGUUGCAGGGUGAGGUGGAGAAAUAAGAGCUGGCACACAAGAGAAAGAGGAAACA